This 523-nucleotide small RNA is filed under the name Pongo abelii (Sumatran orangutan). Its description in RNAcentral is "processed transcript". The record is from RNAcentral. Lineage: Eukaryota; Metazoa; Chordata; Mammalia; Primates; Hominidae.
CUGGUGGGAGGUAAUUGAAUCAUGGGGGCAGUUACCUCCCUGCUGUUCUCAUGAUAGCGAGUGAGUUCUCAUGAGAUCUGAUGGUUUUAUAAGGGAAUUUUCCCCCACUUCACACUGCACGUCUCUUGCUGCCUCCAUGUGAAGAAGGACGUGUUUGCUUCUUCUUCUGCCAUGAUUUUAAGUUUCCUGAGGCCUCCCCAGCCAUGCUGAACUCUUAAAGGGAGCUGAUGCUGGCAAUGGGAUCAGAGUGUUUGUACCUGACAUCGGGAUGUUCAUUGCUAGUCUGACCAUCUGGCUUCUCUGUAGAAACAUUGUUCAGAAACCUGGGACAGACGAAGCAGCACAGAGUAACCUGGAGUUUGAAAAUGAAGAAUUGGCUGGAGGAGAAAAAAUUGAUUCAGAAGAGGCACUGAUCUAUGAAGAGGAUUUCAAUGGAGGAGAUGGUGUUGAAGGCGAGUUGGAAGAAAGCACGAAGUUAAAAAUGUUCCGCAGGCUUGCCUCUGUGGCCUCUAAGCUCAAGGAG